GACGAACGCUGGCGGCGUGCUUAACACAUGCAAGUCGAACGGUGAAGCGCCUUCCUUUUUGGUGGGUGUGGAUGAGUGGCGAACGGGUGAGUAACACGUGAGUAACCUGCCCCCUUCUUCUGGAUAACCGCAUGAAAGUGUGGCUAAUACGGGAUAUUCUGGGUCUGUCGCAUGAUGGGUCUGGGAAAGAUAUUGUUUCGGUGGGGGAUGGGCUCGCGGCCUAUCAGCUUGUUGGUGGGGUGAUGGCCUACCAAGGCGGUGACGGGUAGCCGGCCUGAGAGGGUGGACGGUCACACUGGGACUGAGACACGGCCCAGACUCCUACGGGAGGCAGCAGUGGGGAGUAUUGCACAGUGGGCGCAAGCCUGAUGCAGCGACGCCGCGUGAGGGAUGGAGGCCUUCGGGUUGUGAACCUCUUUCGCCAGUGAAGCAGGCCUGCCUCGUUUGUGGGUGGGUUGACGGUAGCUGGAUAAGAAGCGCCGGCUAACUACGUG
This 494-nucleotide ribosomal RNA is filed under the name uncultured bacterium. RNAcentral's name for it is "partial 16S ribosomal RNA". It matches the Rfam family "Bacterial small subunit ribosomal RNA", at positions 28 to 507 of the family's 1533-position model. The record is from RNAcentral.